AUGCUAAGAGGAAUGGAAGGCUGCUCGGGAAACUAAAUAAAUAAAGGGUGACCGUGAAGUUCAAGAACAGGUUUGAAGUUCUCAUCUAAAAGAUUGGAGCAAAGCACAGCAAUAAAUGUGCAGUUCUUGGAAAUUGUUAAUGACUGACAAAGGUUCUGCUCGGAGACUGAUACUCGGCAUUGCCUUCAUAUCUGCAGAAAGGGGUCAGCUUGACCGGGAAGAAUGAAGAGUGGAUUAGGGAGAUUGCACAGAAAAAUCUAGCAAAACUUCAGGCUUUAGUAAAGCUCCUCUGUGGCGUGAUUGCAACCAUUCAAACUAGGAUGAAUAUGUAUCUCCACGUAAUUGAAAGCUGGUUUAGCUACAGAUUAAUAAACAGAAGGACCUGCACAGUUUCCAGAGGAGAUUUUAAAACUCAGCAUAAAGACAUUUGCUCUUAUUUUCAUAUCAGACUUCCCCCCACUACUUCUGUCUCCCUGCAGACAAAAGGUAUGCAUAAUGAAAGUGAAGUUCCUAAGUAA
Molecule: long non-coding RNA, 518 nt
Filed under: Calidris pugnax (ruff)
Lineage: Eukaryota; Metazoa; Chordata; Aves; Charadriiformes; Scolopacidae
Description: lncRNA (ENSCPUG00000002829.1)
Source: RNAcentral